CUGAACUGAUUGCCUUCCUGUGUCAUCUCUCGUCUGUCUUCUUUAUGAGAGAAAACUUUCUAUCUCGCUUGCUUAUGAAGAACUUCAAGUCUAUUGGGAAAGGAUGUGGUGGUAACCCCGCAACUUUGUCUAGAACUGGAUGUCCAACCGUGUCUUCACCCGCUACUACGGGACCUCCAACUCUAGCUAAUAAACACCUUCCACCCGCUUCCAUCUUCCCUUGUGCCCGACAGCCCGAUUUUUGAAAACCCUUUCUGAUCCCCUACCCAAUCUCAUGAGAAGCAAGCCCAGAAGGACCUGCCUUAACUUGUCUUCAGAUAGCCAACCCUCUUUAGGCUACUAGCAUGGCUAAAGCUUCGCCACAGAGCAAGCUUUCCCAAAUAUGAUAGAUGCAGAAGUGGUGGUAACCCCGCAACUUUGUCUAGAACCUGAUGUCCAACCGUGUCUUCACCCGCUACUACGGGACCUCUCUAGCUAAGAAACACCUUCCACCCACUUCCAUUUUCCUGUGUGCCCCCGACAGCCCGAUUUUUGAAACCCUUUCUGAUCCCCUACCCAAUCUCAUGAGAAGCAAGACAGAAGGACCUGCCUUAACUUGUCUUAAGAUAGCCAACCCUCUUUAGGCUACUGCAUUGCUAAAGCUCCACCACAGAGCAAGCUUUCCCAAAUAUGACCGAUGCAUAAGUGGCUAACGAAGUUGUAGGAAGAAAGUUGUUGGACUACUGUACACGAAGGUACAUUAGUAUUUUGGCAAUUGGCAACAUUAAAAAAAGGAGUAACAGAUAGGAAUAAAGUAAUCUGCCUAACCUUUGAUUCCCAUAACCAUGUUUUUCUUUCUCACUCCUUAUGUACCUUUUUUUCCUUUUGUUUCUUCUUACUUCAUCC
Molecule: long non-coding RNA, 885 nt
Filed under: Solanum tuberosum (potato)
Lineage: Eukaryota; Viridiplantae; Streptophyta; Magnoliopsida; Solanales; Solanaceae
Description: long non-coding RNA (STUB_LNC001867)
Source: RNAcentral